Oryctolagus cuniculus (rabbit) is the source of this 850-nucleotide non-coding RNA. NCBI's taxonomy places the organism in Eukaryota, Metazoa, Chordata, Mammalia, Lagomorpha, Leporidae. The record is from RefSeq and is a predicted model, not a curated record.
CACAUGAUGCCCGGGAUAAUACUGAGACUCUGAACCUCAAGAACAUCGAGGAUUGAGAAGGCAUCAGUGGUUACUUCCCCACCAUUUCUGGAAAACAGGGAGAAAGGGGAUUUGAGUUAUAAGCAAAUGCCCUCCAGGGUAAUGAGUUCUCAGUCUGCGCUGGGUCCUCUCUUUGACAGUUGCUGAUAUGAUGAUACCCAUGUGUGUAUAUGAGACCACCAGGGCUGAUCUUCCCAAUUCAUACUACGUUGUAUUCCAGUGGCACCCCCAUGAUUUAAAACACCACUGUCCUAAGAGCCUUCAUACACUGACGAUGUGGAGGUUCUUCCAAGGAUGUCUCAUCAGAAUUCAGAGAGGUUGCCUUUGCUGUUUGUUCCAGGAAGAUCCGCAGAGUUAUUGCAGAGUCAGCUCGUAAAGUAUGCAUGAACCCUCUCCAAACUGAUGUUUUCACCCAAGAACUAAACCACUUCACUGCGGGUAUCUAUAAAUAAAAAGGAAAGAUUUCCAAUCAUAUAUUUGAUUGUACUGAGGGUAUACAUCUGCAUUUCUUGUGGGAUUUGUUUAAAAGAUAUUAAAAGAAAAACUUACUUAUGCAGGUAAGUAAAAAAAUCUCCAAACAGGCAUUUGGCCUAGUGGUUAAGACAACCAGUUAGGGGCCAGUGAUGUGGCACAGGGGAUUAGGCCACUGCUCGCAGUGUCAGCAUCCCAUGUAGGUGCCAGUUACUGUUCUGGCUGCUCCACUUCUGUUUCAGUUUCCUGCUGGUGUGCCUGAGAAAGCAGCAGAGAUUGGAGACUUGGAAGAGACUCUUGGCUCCUGGCUUUGACCUAGCCCAGCCCCAGCCUUUGUGGC